ACCUCACCAUUCGGCCAGCCUCUCGCCCUCCUCUGCCCUUGCUCUCUCCACCGUCCUGCACUCCGAUACUCCCAUAUGGCACCGUUCACGCGCCCAGCCCCACGAGCCACCGACUCCCCUAGAGUUACACCGGGACGCUACGUCCCCCAGAGGGGCCUGGUGCUGAAGCGGGUGCUCAAAAGCCUCCUCUCGUGGCUGCUGCGCCGCCGCCGCCGCCGUGCCGGCCGCCCCCGUCCCGGCAGGGGCGCCGCCGCGCCGCCGGGCCGUCGUGGCACGUAGUACUAACCAUCAACCACCACCUCUCCUCAACUGGAGUGUAUCCGUCAAUUAUUCUGCAGGUCAGGUCAAGUCGUACACGUCCGGUCCGGGCCGGCGUCACAAGCGGUGACCCAGCUGGCCGAGACGUAGACGGGUCAACGAGUCAAGCUAUCGGGGUUGCUCAGGAUGGUGGCAGAAAACCAAGUGUUGCAUCCGGCCUCCGGUCGUCAGUCAACUUAAUACUAUUGUUUCAUUGGUUAUUAUUUCGUUGCAUAAAAUACUGGAUACAUAUAGAUGGACCACACGCUUACUGACGGCAUCUCUUGCUGUUCGCGUGGGGCGUGCAUGUGUCUCCACGCUGUAAUAGGUCAUGUUAUUUUUUCGUUUUUUUCUUUUAUAUAACACAUAUACCUGUUUUUUCGUUCUUGAUGGGCCGAAUUUCAUAAUAUUUGCGGUGAAUUCUGAUAAUCCA
Long non-coding RNA from Triticum urartu, 730 nucleotides. RefSeq lists it as uncharacterized. The record is from RefSeq and is a predicted model, not a curated record. Lineage: Eukaryota; Viridiplantae; Streptophyta; Magnoliopsida; Poales; Poaceae.